GCUAAGAUAGGUCUGUGGGAGAGUGGAGGUUGUGCAGCUCAAGAUGGCUUCCAUGUCUGCACCAUCAUCUGGCUGGACGUGCAUCGGAACAAAGGUGGAUUUGUGGGAGUUGAUCUUGAGACCGGUGGCCGCGUGGGAGUUGAAGGAAGUGACGAGUCAAUUGGGUGACAGAGCAGGCCGUUGCCGGAAGCGUGUUUGAUGAGUCGUUGCAACACAUCAGCCACCACAAUGAAAAGAUAUGGGAUCUGCUUGUCUGAGGCCGCGGCGACACGUGAUCCUGCGCCCCGGCACGCCGUUAAGCAUAACAGCCGUUCGGCCGCUGGUGAGAAUUUUCUCUAUCCAUCCACACACCAGCGAUCAUCAAAGCCCCUGCAACGAAGAAUGGCAUCCCGGCUGCACCAUUCAAUGGAAUCAAACGCUUUCUUCA
Molecule: long non-coding RNA, 427 nt
Filed under: Setaria viridis
Lineage: Eukaryota; Viridiplantae; Streptophyta; Magnoliopsida; Poales; Poaceae
Description: long non-coding RNA (SVIR_LNC000242)
Source: RNAcentral